Molecule: ribosomal RNA, 497 nt
Filed under: uncultured bacterium
Lineage: Bacteria
Description: partial 16S ribosomal RNA
Rfam family: Bacterial small subunit ribosomal RNA
Source: RNAcentral
GAUGAACGCUGGCGGCGUGCCUAAUACAUGCAAGUCGAGCGAACAGACGAGGAGCUUGCUCCUCUGACGUUAGCGGCGGACGGGUGAGUAACACGUGGAUAACCUACCUAUAAGACUGGGAUAACUUCGGGAAACCGGAGCUAAUACCGGAUAAUAUAUUGAACCGUAUGGUUCAAUAGUGAAAGACGGUUUUGCUGUCACUUAUAGAUGGAUCCGCGCCGCAUUAGCUAGUUGGUAAGGUAACGGCUUACCAAGGCAACGAUGCGUAGCCGACCUGAGAGGGUGAUCGGCCACACUGGAACUGAGACACGGUCCAGACUCCUACGGGAGGCAGCAGUAGGGAAUCUUCCGCAAUGGGCGAAAGCCUGACGGAGCAACGCCGCGUGAGUGAUGAAGGUCUUCGGAUCGUAAAACUCUGUUAUUAGGGAAGAACAAAUGUGUAAGCAACUAUGCACGUCUUGACGGUACCUAAUCAGAAAGCCACGGCUAACUACGUG